UUGGGAGCUCUCCCAUAUGGUCGACCUGCAGGCGGCCGCGAAUUCACUAGUGAUUCGUAUUACCGCGGCUGCUGGCACGGAGUUAGCCGGGGCUUUCUUGGUCAGGUACCGUCAUUAUCUUCCCUGCUGAAAAGGGCUUUACAACCCUAAGGCCUUCAUCACCCACUCGGUAUUGCUGGAUCAGGCUUUCGCCCAUUGUCCAAUAUUCCCCACUGCUGCCUCCCGUAGGAGUCUGGGCCGUGUCUCAGUCCCAGUGUGGCUGAUCAUUCUCUCAAACCAGCUACAGAUCAUUGGCUUGGUAGGCCAUUACCCUACCAACUACCUAAUCUGGCGCGGGCUCAUCCAUCAGCGAUAAAUCUUUCCUCCAAAGAGAAUAUACGGUAUUAGCAAUUAUUUCUAAAUGUUAUUCCGUACUGAUGGGCAGAUUCCCACGUGUUACUCACCCGUCUGCCACUAAUUUAUUUAAAGCAAGCUCUAAAUAAAUCCGUUCGACUUGCAUGUGUUAAGCAUACCGAAAGCGUUCGUUCUGAGCCAUGAUCAAACUCUAAUCGAAUUCCCGCGGCCGCCAUGGCGCCCGGGAGCAUGCGAC
Molecule: ribosomal RNA, 589 nt
Filed under: uncultured Alphaproteobacteria bacterium
Lineage: Bacteria; Pseudomonadati; Pseudomonadota; Alphaproteobacteria
Description: partial 16S ribosomal RNA
Source: RNAcentral